UGAGUAACCUGCCCUUAACUCUGGGAUAAGCCUGGGAAACUGGGUCUAAUACCGGAUAUGACUCCUCAUCGCAUGGUGGGGGGUGGAAAGCUUUAUUGUGGUUUUGGAUGGACUCGCGGCCUAUCAGCUUGUUGGUGAGGUAAUGGCUCACCAAGGCGACGACGGGUAGCCGGCCUGAGAGGGUGACCGGCCACACUGGGACUGAGACACGGCCCAGACUCCGUACGGGAGGCAGNAGUAGGG
RNAcentral lists this ribosomal RNA (243 nucleotides) under uncultured bacterium. RNAcentral describes it as "partial 16S ribosomal RNA". It matches the Rfam family "Bacterial small subunit ribosomal RNA", at positions 118 to 359 of the family's 1533-position model. The record is from RNAcentral.